This 751-nucleotide ribosomal RNA is filed under the name uncultured bacterium. RNAcentral describes it as "bacterial SSU rRNA". It matches the Rfam family "Bacterial small subunit ribosomal RNA", at positions 211 to 976 of the family's 1533-position model. The record is from RNAcentral.
UUUAUUGCUGAAAGAUGGCCUCGCGUCUGAUUAGCUGGUUGGUGAGGUAACGGCCCACCAAGGCGACGAUCAGUAGCCGGUCUGAGAGGAUGAACGGCCACAUUGGGACUGAGAUACGGCCCAGACUCCUACGGGAGGCAGCAGUGGGGAAUAUUGGGCAAUGGGGGAAACCCUGACCCAGCAACGCCGCGUGAAGGAAGAAGGCCUUCGGGUUGUAAACCUCUUUUACCAGGGACGAAAAAGAUGACGGUACCUGGAGAAAAAGCAACGGCUAACUACGUGCCAGCAGCCGCGGUAAUACGUAGGUUGCAAGCGUUGUCCGGAUUUACUGGGUGUAAAGGGCGUGUAUGCGGAGAUGCAAGUUGGGAGUGAAAUCCAUGGGCUCAACCCAUGAACUGCUCUCAAAACUGUAUCCCUUGAGUAUCGGAGAGGCAAGCGGAAUUCCUAGUGUAGCGGUGAAAUGCGUAGAUAUUAGGAGGAACACCAGUGGCGAAGGCGGCUUGCUGGACGACAACUGACGCUGAGGCGCGAAAGCGUGGGGAGCAAACAGGAUUAGAUACCCUGGUAGUCCACGCUGUAAACGAUGAAUACUAGGUGUGGGAGGACUGACCCCUUCCGUGCCGCAGUUAACACAAUAAGUAUUCCACCUGGGGAGUACCACCGCAAGGUUGAAACUCAAAGGAAUUGACGGGGGCCCGCACAAGCAGUGGAUUAUGUGGUUUAAUUCGACGCACCGCGAAGAACCUUACCA